Molecule: small nucleolar RNA, 73 nt
Organism: Fukomys damarensis (Damara mole-rat)
Lineage: Eukaryota; Metazoa; Chordata; Mammalia; Rodentia; Bathyergidae
Product: small nucleolar RNA SNORD26
Exons: 1
Source: RefSeq, a predicted model, not a curated record
CUGCAAGGAUGAUUUAAGAACUGAACUCUCUCUUUCUGAUGGCUCCAUGGAGAAAGCAGAAAUUCUGAGUAGC